CUGCCUUUGAUCUGUAUGCUUUUUCACAAUGAUGGCACUUCAUUGCUAUUUUCUCCAGCUCAGAUGCAGUCUUCCCACAUUUUUUAAUGUGAUACAGGUAUCCCAUUAUGCUAGUGAAGCUGCCUGUGCAGCCCUCCCUUGUACACUUCAGCUUUCCCAUACGCUUCAAAACCUUCCGAAGGCGGUCUCGCUCAAGCUGCUCAUCCAAUUCUCCUCCUUCCUUCACGACUGGCUGACUGUUGUGGUCUGCCAUGACAUGGUAUUUCAUUCCUCCUAAAGACUUCAGCUGUUUCCCACAAUGAUGACAUGUGAAUGUUUCCUGUCUGCAAUUUGCCAUAUGUUUCUUCAGUCCUUCUACAGUCUUUCUCACCACAGCCCGGCACGUAGGACAAGUAACUCGACCUUUGUCCUGAAUUUCCAAAGACCACUGCUCUUCUCUACUACCUGUGCCAUAGGUUUCUGGUUCCUUCCGAACAUAGUGGCUUUUUGUUUUGGAGUUCUGUUGUGCUCCCAAUUGCCGCUUUUUUCCAGAAAUCUUCUGCUUCUUCUUGGGAGGGUCUUUAAGAUCUUCACUUUCCCGGUGCACAGAUUUCCUCUUGCCUUUCAAAAGCACUUCUGCUUUUUCAUCUGAAGAUUUGUUCACAUUGUUUUUUAUGCCCC
This 660-nucleotide long non-coding RNA is filed under the name Gallus gallus (chicken). The record is from RNAcentral. Lineage: Eukaryota; Metazoa; Chordata; Aves; Galliformes; Phasianidae.